This 194-nucleotide non-coding RNA is filed under the name Sphingomonas sp. Lineage: Bacteria; Pseudomonadati; Pseudomonadota; Alphaproteobacteria; Sphingomonadales; Sphingomonadaceae. The record is from RNAcentral.
AUCGCUCGUCCUGCGACAGGUUCCCCCGACGCUAGCGCCGAGGGGGAUGAAAAUGGGAACGGGAAACACCCGGCUGCCCCUGCAACUGUACGCGGCGAGCCACCGUGCCUCAUGCCAUUGGGAUCGUCCCGAGAAGGCGGCGCGGACGGCGUUGACCCGCGAGCCAGGAGACCUGCCCGUCGCGGUCGUCUUUC